UGAGAUGAAGCACUGUAUCUC
This 21-nucleotide non-coding RNA is filed under the name Gallus gallus (chicken). Lineage: Eukaryota; Metazoa; Chordata; Aves; Galliformes; Phasianidae. RNAcentral also lists the same sequence under 1 other name. The record is from RNAcentral.